AUUGAACGCUGGCGGCAGGCCUAACACAUGCAAGUCGAGCGAGCGGCGGACGGGUGAGUAAUGUCUGGGAAACUGCCUGAUGGAGGGGGGUAACUACUGGAAACGGUAGCUAAUACCGCAUACCAUCAGAUGUGCCCAUAUGGGUUUAGCUCGGAGGUGGGGUAACGGCUCACCUAGGCGACGAUCCCUAGCUGGUCUGAGAGGAUGACCAGCCACACUGUAACUGAGACACGGUCCAGACGCCUACGGGAGGCAGCAGUGGGGAAUAUUGCACAAUGGGCGCAAUCCUGAUGCAGCCAUGCCGCGUGUGUGAAGAAGGCCUUCGGGUUUUAAAGCACUUUCAGCGGGGAGGCGUUACCCGCAGAAGAAGCACCGGCUAACUCCGUGCCAGCAGCCGCGGUAAUAC
This 406-nucleotide ribosomal RNA is filed under the name uncultured bacterium. RNAcentral describes it as "partial 16S ribosomal RNA". It matches the Rfam family "Bacterial small subunit ribosomal RNA", at positions 30 to 526 of the family's 1533-position model. The record is from RNAcentral.